UUCCUAGCCUCAGUUUCCCCAGCUGAGUAACCCAGGGUCUCAUUUACUCACACAAAUAUUUACUGGGCUCUGACUUAUGAAAACGCUGCCUUGUAGGGCUGUUUCAAGUGACCAGAGACAGUGAGUGUAAGAGUACUUUGUACCUAGACGUGCCCCCGCCACUCUCCUCCCAUGCUUUGGGGGAUCUGUUCUUGGUCUCUGGGCUGCACCUGGCUUCAUAGGUCACGGUCAUUCUCUAGGAACCCAGAACCCAGGAUGAGAUAGUCUGGCGAGUUAUUUUCCAACUUCUACUUGGAGGCAGUGACAGGCAGAGGGACACCGUCUCUAGGCCUGCGUGUGGGUCCCCCCUCCCUUCUCAGCGGUAUGACCCAACCCGAUCACUUUUCCACCCCCACCCCCGGACCCUUACUUUCUUUCUCUGUACAAGGGGGAUAAUCCUCCCUGCCCUGCCAAACCUCACGCCUUUUUUCUGACCCGACCCAAGCCUCAGAUAAGGAAAAGGAUGGAAAAAGCCCUUCCUAAACGGCCAGGAGGCCACAAACAUCCCCAAGCCAGUGCGUGCUAUUUUCCACAAUAAGCCGGAGGAGGCUACGGCUCUUUUGAGUUGGGUCAAGGCUGGGGAUGACUGGGGACCGUCAGGAAAGCAAGAAUGCUCCGGUUCCUUUUAUUGCUUCAAAUCUUAGUCACCAGGAAGCCGCCCCAUGAAACGUACAAGCCUCGUAUCAUUUACUCGUCUUGAAUUAAUUAAGAAGCCCGGUAUGGGGACAAUUAGAGAAACCCUAGGCUGAUGACAUCGCCUCGUGAUGGAAUUUGUUCCUGCGUCCACUUUGCCUCUUGCGCAUUCCUGCUGAUACCGGCAGGUUUAUUUUUCUCGAGACCAAGCAUCUUGGACGUGGCGCGGGGCCUCACCGGAGACUCUGCACACAUCUGGGGACACGCACGGCCCGGGAGGGCCGGGUUGAGGGUCACGCCGAUAUGCAUCUGUUUCCUCGGCCGGUGUGUCUUACUUUUCUGUUUUAAUUUCCUUUUCACCCAACCUCUCCUGCCCUGCCCCACCCUGGCCGACGUCCCUGUCUUUUGUUUGGAAAUUCCACUGGGACCAAGCAUUCUAAAUCCCCAAACAUCUAAAGCAAACAUCCUAGGGUGGCAUCGCUCUGAGGCCGACAUGCGAAGGGCGCCGUCCGAAGGUCCGCAAGCCGUGCGAGGCCCACAGUUGACUCCGAGACCCGCCUGUGGACCGGGAAGGGACACACGGCUAGCCACAGACCGGCCUGCUCACCAUAAUCACGCCGAAUGUCUUGAGCCAAAGGCGUAAACACAGCCAACUUUGGCCCAGCAGAGAGAUUUGAACGGAGCCCUCCCAGCGGCACAGGACAAAUACGUCUUCUGAGGGACGACGCGCCCAGAUUUGCUGACCGGAGCAUCCGUGUUAUUGGAGGAAAGCCCGGGAGAGCCAAGUGUCACCUCGAACGUGCUGAAUCUAGCUCCGCUCUUACAAGGGGACCUGGGCUUUGUCACUGGAUUAUUUUCUGCCAGCUGCCACCCACGAAUAAGCAAACAAUGGCUCAUCGAGCGCAUUCUCCCACGGCAGGCUCCUCAGCCGGCCAGACACCAGCCUCAGCGUGUUCCUCAACCAUGUGCCAGACGUGCCCAGAGAGGUUUGCCCACCACCAGUGGACACCCUGUGGGCCCGUGCUGGGAUCCUUCCUGCUCACGCGUGACACUUGGCAGAAUGUCCUUGGUUCAUAUUAAGCACGGUAUUAAA
This is a long non-coding RNA of Felis catus (domestic cat), 1765 nucleotides long. RefSeq lists it as uncharacterized. The record is from RefSeq and is a predicted model, not a curated record. NCBI's taxonomy places the organism in Eukaryota, Metazoa, Chordata, Mammalia, Carnivora, Felidae. The transcript is spliced from 3 exons.